This 30749-nucleotide long non-coding RNA is filed under the name Citrus x clementina. RNAcentral's name for it is "Citrus clementina (C. clementina) long non-coding RNA (CCLE_LNC004381)". Lineage: Eukaryota; Viridiplantae; Streptophyta; Magnoliopsida; Sapindales; Rutaceae. The record is from RNAcentral.
AGUAAACUUCCAAGGUCUCUCUACAGGAAAAGAAGAUGCACUAUCCUUUAUUUGUUUGCAAAUCAAAAUGACAUUGACAUAGAGAGAGAGAGAGAGAGAGAGAGAGAGAGAACCUGAGGGAAGGAGGGAGCUUAGGAAAUAAGUGUGGCUUCCUCAGAUGAACUGGAAGAGUCAGCAUGGAGAAAAGGUCAGCCCAAUCAAGCUUUUGUUCCUCAGAUACAACAAAGGCUUGUCCAAAGCCUUCCAUAUCUCCUGGAUGCUGCCAAUAUUUUUUCUUUUCUUCCAUGCUGAGAUUGAAGAAUCCCUCAACCUCUUUCUUUAAUUUCUCUAGAAAUGCUGUGCUCAUUCCAUGAUUUACCAGCUGAAAAAAAUACAGGAACGAAAUGCAGCAAAGAUUUAAUAAUCGUGCCACUAAGCUCACAAUAGUCCAGGUGUUUUAUGAAGACAGAUUGCAACUUAUCUGACUGAUUUAGAGAUAAGAUUUACCAUCAAAGAUAGCUAAAAGCAUUUGUUACAUUUAAAUCUUCUCAACAAUUAGUUUCCACAGGUGUUUUUUAUUCAUUCUAUCGGAGAAAUUUCGGUUAUUCUAGAAUAACUAUAACGAGCAUGAAGUUCUUGUGGUUUGUUCACACCUAGAAUUUGAAAAAUCAUACAACAGCAAAUAAUCUCAAUGUUACUUCGAAUUGUCUUUAAAUUAGAGUAAUUUGCAACAUUGACUACAGAAAUGAGUACAUUUUCUAAGAGGUCUUACACAAUUUACGAUAGUAUAUCUUUUAAAAUUUUGACAGAAGCAUAUUUCUCAUAAGGUACCAAAAGCCAUUGAGGCAGAGGAGGGGAAAUUUCUCAAGACCGUAUUUUUCAUACAUAUUGCGUGUUUGACAUUUAGGAAUGAAAUAGCUAAUUAACCCAUGUCUGGAGGGGGAAAGGUAAAGCAGUAUAGAAAGUCAAUAAUAAAUAAACCAGAGACAAGUUCUUCUUUUCACAAGCUGCAGUCCUAAGCCACUGACAACACCGAAAAGUGAAACCAUGAUCUGCUAACAUCAAUGAUACGUGGGUUUAAGAAAUAAAUAUGAAUUUUAAUUUUGCCUAUUGGAUUGAGAAUUUGCAUAUUUCUCGAUUCUUGUUCACAAACAAGCAUGUUCUGGCGAAACAAUUUUCUAACUUUGCUAAAGCAUUAUACCUGGAAAAAACCCCAUUCUUUGCAUGCGAAGUCGAGCUUGGCUAGCUCAGAAUCCAUUGAUUCUUCAGAAAGUAAGCUUUGCAUGUCAAUAACUGGUAUCUGUGAAAUCAAAGUAUCAUCAGAAAUGAGUGGUGAAUCUUGAUCUGGACGUAUGUAUCUGUCGGGGACAACUAACGCAGGAUUCUUGACCAACUCUUGAACACAAGGCACAAGGAGAGAACUUCCAAUCUGGGCCAUCUUUUGUUCCUCAAAUCCUUUCAAGAUUGCUGCAGCUUUGUAUUGAUUUUGGAACAAGACUGAGUGCCGACAAUCACAAAAGUAAAAAAGAAUCUUUUUCCAAGAAAUUAAUCAGCAUCCUCCACCUAACCAUUCAUGAAGUAUUUUUAAUUUUUUGCACAUGUUUAGAAUGCAUAAUAAAAUAUUCGCAGGUCAAAACUAUCCUCUAUUGAUAAGGAUAACAAAUCAUCAGCCAAUUAAUUAGGGUAAUUUUUAAAAACCUCCCCUGAGGUUUGGGCUUGUUGUAAGUAAAUGAUGAGAAUUGAUUUAUUUGUAAAAAAUUCUCUACCGUCAGUUAAUUUUAACAUUGACUGUUAGUUGACUGUGCAAAGACAAUAUUACCCUUAACAAUAAUUUAUAGACAGAAAUAACUAUAAAAAAAUUAAAAUUAUUAGUUAUUUUACCCUCUUUAAAUUAUUGAUAUUUUCUUAAAGUUCCUACAAGAAAGAUAAAAUUAAAAAUUUUAAAAAUUCUCUUUAAAUUAUUGAUAUUUUCUUAAAGUUUCUACAAAAAAGAUAAAAUUAAAAACUUAAAAAUAAAAUAGUUAUAAUCUUUACUUAUGAUAUUGUAAAUUUUUGGAAUUGACAAGGAUAAAAUUGUCAAAAAAUAGGGUUUGUGCUUUUCGCGCCAACAAUUUUAAUUUUUUUUUUAGUUAUUUCCGUCUACAAACUGUUGUUGAGGGUAAUAUUGUCUUUGCACAGUCAACUAACGGUCAAUGUUAAAAUUAACUGACGGUAGGAGGUUUUUUAUAAAUAAACAGAUUCUCGUCAUCUGCUUGCAACAAGUCCAAACCUCAGGGGAGGUUUUUAAAAAUUAUCCCAAUUAAUUAUUUGUGGUUCCCACCUUGUCAUCAACCCAAAAGGCAAAGGUAUUUUCAAUACUGCGUUUUGUUUUCUUUUUCCCUUUCUAUUUUUCUUUCACAACUUGGCAUUGAUCUCGGAGCAUUUGCUCUUGACUUGUGCGAGUAAUCCACCAUUGCGUGUCUGCAGUUAAAAGGACUUCUUAAAAUUUUUUCUAACACGCUGCAAUCUGGUGCUGUGUUGGAAUUGACUGUGCACUAUUAAGAAAACAGUGGGUUCCAAUUGUAAUCGAUUAGUCAUUUAUACAAUUAUAGCUGUUUAUAUUUAGGCAUUAAUUAUCUUUAUAUUUUUAUCUGAUAACAACCAAUUAAAACCUCAUAUUUUGCUUGCGAAUCCAAGUUCCACUUACGAAAGUAACAUCUGUCUCAUUUUUAAUUAUUGAUAAUUAUUAUUACUAUUAUUAUUAUUUUUUAUUAUUAUUAUUGGUAACAAGUUACAACUUAUGUACUCAUGCAAUGUGUUCUAUGGAGAACAAUGUUGCUACAAGCAAUACAAAAUUUGUUACAAUUUAUUGUCUUGAAUAUUUUCGGUAAAAACUACUUAUUUUAACUACAUGCAUGCUACUGGGGAAGGUUGUAAAACAAAUUAUCACAACAAUCUGCUUAAUGUGACGGAUGGUUAAGCCAAAUGACAACAUAUAACCCAAGCAUGUUGUUAUCUAUUCAACUUCAGUGACAUUGUAACAAAAUAUAUUGUUGAUAAGGAUGUAAUUGGACAAGCAAGCGUUAGAAUGGCAUGCUUAAGUAUUUAAUAUCAUAUUUGAAUCAUCUUUAACUCCGAAAGCAAGUGAAAUAGUUCUUGAAAUCUGAUAAAAACAUGACAAGCCUGCAAAAAUUCUAUUCCAAAAAUGAAAGACACUGAUCCAAAAUAAGCACAAUUAUCAUCAGAAAAUUCCUGGCACAAAUCUGCAACUAUCCAAAAUAAUUAUGCUAGCCUCGACCAUGUUGAAUUCUCAGGUCAUCCAGGUGAGAUUUUCCCCUAAGCUCACGAGCAAAUCGGCUCCUAAAGUAUUCUUCAACCGUCACUCUUCGAAACAAUGCAGGAGUUUUUUCAGAUAUCAAACUGGAUGCUGGAUAUAUUUCACCAUCUAAUCUCUUUGUGUAAAAUGUGGCAAUGGAAAGUCUUUCUUGUAUAGAGUUCACAAUUGCACGAUGCUCAAUGCUACAGUAUGUCCCAUUGGUUAUAAUUUGCAGUGUUAAAAAUAUUAGAGCACAUGAGAAGGGACAUAAAAAUGCCAAGGAAAGUAAUCAUAAUUAUUACCUCUAAUGUGUCUCCGAUGUUGACAAUGAAAGCAUUUGGCAGCGGUGUGAUAGGAAUCCAUUUUCCAUCGUUCUUGAUCUGGAGACCUUCUACUUCAUUGAUUUGUAGCAGAAUGGUAAGAGCAGAGCCAUCAGAAUGAGGGGUGAGGCCCAUAACCUUUUCUGGCUGAGGACAUGGAGGGUAAUAGUUCAUCCUCAUUGAUUGGAAACCAUUGUCAAAGAAUUCUCUCAAUUCUUCAUCUUUGAUAUUUAAAACUUUUCCCAUUUUCGAUAUCAGGUUCAUGGCCAAAGAUUUUAACUCCAUUGAGUAAACUUCCAAGGUGUCUCUACAAGAAAAAAGAAGGUAAAACAUUAGAUAGAAUCAUAGAAGGUUUAAUUUUCUCUUUUUGUUUGCAAAUCCAUAUCAAGCACAAACAGAGAGAACCUGAGGGAAGGAGGGAGCUUAGGAAAUAAGUGUGGCUUCCUCAUAUGAACUGGAAGAGUGAUCAUGGAGAACAUGUCAGCCCAAUCAAGCUUUUGUUCCUCAGAUACAACAAAGGCUUGUCCAAAUCCUUCUACAUCUCCUGGAUGCUGCCAAUAUUUUUUCUUUUCUUCCAUGCUGAGAUUGAAGAAGCCCUUAACCUCUUUCUUCACUUUCUCUAGAAAUGCUGAGCUUACUCCAUGGUUUACCAGCUGAAAUUAUGCAGGAAUGAACAGCAGCUAAGAUUUGAUAAUCGUGCCACUAGGUUCACAACCGUCCAGGCGUUUUAUGAAGACAGAUUGCAACUUAUUUGACUGAUUUAGAGACAAGAUUUGCUGUCAAAGAUGGCUAAAAGCAUUUGUUACAUUUCAACUGAGAACAUUGCUGUUGCAUUAAACACCAAUUUUAUUUUGUUUAUAAAUCUAAUCAAUGAUUGAUUUUUACAAGUGUUUUUUACUCAGUUUUGGAGAAAUUUGAAUAUUCUAGAACAGCUAAUAAUCUGCGGGAGUCUUAUACAAUUUACUAUAUCGUUUAUCACAUAUUGACAGAAGCAUAUUUCUCAUAAGCUACCAAAAGCUAUUGAGACAAAGUAGGUGAAAUUUGUCAUGGGCAUCUUUUAAUACAAAUUAUACUAACAAAUCUAUGGCUAUAUGUAAAGGUAAAGUAAUAAAGAAAGUCAAAAACAAAUAUAUCAAUGGAAUCUGGGUUUCAGAAAUAAAUGGUGAGUGUUUUCUUCUCAUAUCGCCUCAAAUUGUACAAUAAAACAAGAGACAACUUCCUUGACAUUUCACAAGCUGCGGUCCUAGAAGCACUGAAAGCAGCAAAAGGACUAGAUGGGAAAAUUUGAAAUCAUGACAUGCUAAAUCAACGGAAACUGGGUUUCAAAAAUAGAUAUUUUGUGACAGAGUUUUGCAGAUUUCAUGAUUCUUAAAUCACAGACAAGCAUGAAAAAUCUUUCUAACUCUGCUAAAGCAUUUUACCUGGUAAAAACCUCAUUCUUUGCAAGCGAAGUCGAGCUUGGCUAACUCAGAAUCCAUUGAUUCUUCAGAAAGCAAGCUCUGCAUGUCAAUAAUUGGUAUCUGUGAAAUCAAAGUAUCAUCAGAAUUGAGUGGUGAAUCUUCGUCCGGACGUAUGUAUCUAGGAGGGACAACUAACAUAGGAUUCUUGACCAACUCUUGAACACAAGGAACAAGCAGAGAACCUCCAAUCUUGGCCAUCUUUUGUUCCACAAAUCCUCUUAAGAUUGCUACAGCUUUGUAUUGGUUUUGGAACAAGAGUGCAGGGUGCAGACAAUCGCAAGAGUUGAAAACAAUUAUUUUCUAACAAAUCAGCAUCCUCCACCUAACCGCUCAUGAUAUAUUUUUAUGCAAAUGACUGAUCUGGAUUAUUUUAAGGGGACCAUUCAACAGCAUGGUAAAAUAUGGGCAGGAAAUAGACCAUCAUUGAUAAUCACAACUAACAAAUCAGCUAGUCGAUUAAUUAUUAGUAAUUCCCAUAUUACCUUAUACAUUAAUAGUACUAACGGACGAGCCCUCACCUCGUUCACCUUUUGACUCCGAAUCAUCCUGUUCGUAUGCUUCUUACAUGGUCUGAAGGAAAAAUGAAAAUUCUAGAAAUAUUUUUCUUAUUGAAUUCAGCAGCGGAGUAAUCGAAUAUUGGAUUAUGUUAAUGGUCAAAAGAAAUCGCAAGUGGAAAUCCUUAUCUAAUCACAAUAUAAAUGCCCUUUUUAUGGAUUGUUCAAUGUUCUUAAUUUUAAUCUUCACGAAGAAGAGAAGAAGUUGAUUUAGCAAUUUUUACGUCUUUCUUGUUCUUAUUAUUAGAGAGAUUUUAUUCAAAGUGGAAGAAGUUAAUUUAAACUCAACUUCCCUCUCAAUUUCCAUAAACUGUACAUGUAACUACAUGGUAGUUACCAUGUGCGGGUCGGAUUGGCUCGGCCCAUCAUGGGUGAUCCACCCAUCCCAUAUCUCCCAUUCGUACAUGAUGGGAUGACAUCGAAACAGCAGAGCAGUGAACAUAUAAAUAAUGAACAACCACAUAUCUUUAAUCAUACAGGUAGAUAUAUCAUGUGACCAUGAACAUAUCUAAAAAUCCAUUUGGUGAGUCAAAAACAUAUCUCGAUUGCUAACUCAGGCAAAAGAUGUCUCAAUUGCAAUCGUAUGCAAGAGAAUUUAAAAAUAUGUUCAUUGUAUCCUAGAUUUAAUUUAUUUUAAUACUCAAGCAUACUAAAUCCCAUUAGUAUGCUAAAAUUGCACAAUCUCUUUAUGUAUUCACAAUUGUAAUAUCCCAAAGAUAUUAUACAAUUGGUCGACCAGUGAAUCACAUAAAAGAAAAAUUAAAUCUUUUUAUCACACUCAUGUUCAUCAAUUCAGAAUAGUCGCUUUCCUAGUCAUGUUUCAUAGACCGAAUAAUGUAAAAGGUCAUAGAUAACAUACUAAAGUAGCAGACAUCACUCUGAGAUCUCAAAAAUAUAGUUAAUAGUCAUAAGGAUAUCGGGAUUGACUUAUAAAAAGUUAUAUAGAACUUACACAAUGAGAAAGAUGGAAGAUUAUUUCAUUUUCCAUUUUGGUUACCAAGCACGCGUGGUAUGAUACACGUGUUACAGUAAAUUUUCCAUUUCAGGACUAUAGAUCUUAGUCUAGUCACUCUUUUAGAAUGAACGCUCUCCUUUAGCGUAAAACGUAAGAUCUCACAUCUGGCUUCAAUCAAGUCUCCAUGAUGGUGGGGUAUAUCAUAGUCAGUCUAUAAUAUGGGCAGGAAAUAGACCAUCAUUGAUAAUCAAGUCGAAAAAUCGUGUGAGACCUCUUGAUUCUAGUCAAGGUAAAAAAACUUGUAGAAUAACGCUUUUUAUUUGGCUCUCAAACAAAAACAUGGUUUUAUUAUUCUACUUGUCUCAUCUCAGCUUGCUCCUAAAGCAAUUGAGGUGACCGCUUGUGUAAGAAAACUAGUCUGGACCUGACGACAUACUCUUAUAUAUGUGUAAUUGUGUCUUUCAUGGAAUAAAUUGAAAUAAGAGAUACUAUUACAUUUUCAAACAACUUAUGUAAUGAAGAUGUUUAUAACAAAUAAGUGCAUCUUAAUAAUAGUAAUUUAUAAUCUAUGUAGCCCUAAUGAUUUAGCAUGAGAGGCGAAUACAUCCCUUAUUACAGCUUUGGUAAGUGGAUCAGUUAUCAUGCUAUGUGUAGAUAUAUAUUGUAUGGCUACUGAUAACUCUAUGAAAUGAGAGUUAUCAUGGCACUUUUAAGCUUAAAUCAAUACUAAUUAGAAAGUAAAUUAUGUGUUUCUAUUGCAUUUUUGUUACAUUUUGCAUAAAUAAUCAUUUUAGUCAGUCUUAAUAAGUUUUGCUUGAUUUAAAGUAAUUUGUGCUCAAAUUGUGUGAAUAAUUGUAGGUUUCCAGAAGUUUAUAAUUCAUGGAAGGAAUGCUAUGCAAUAGGCUUGCAAAAAUAAGGAAGAACAUGGCUAUAAAAGAAUUGAAACAAAUCUGGAACAGUACAGUUGCUGUAGCAACCAUUGCUUUAGCCAUUGCUGUAGCAAUCUUGGAACAACGACGAAGAAAAUUCCGUGCGGGAUACUUGCAGAAUUGCAAUCUGUAGUUUCCUAAUCUGACUUAUGCGCGCUUUAGGCUUCCGUUUACCCUAAUUUUCAACUAUAAAAGAAGCACACAUCAUAAGGAUUAAAGAGAGCCGUCACCCAAGGAGAAAAACAAAAAGAAACAAAAGAAAAACAAGAUUCAAGAGAGAGAUUAAAGGCUGCACAAGAGGAGAAUUUGCAUAAAUCAAUUGAGAGCUCAAUCCUUCUUAUUCUUCUCUUGUUUUCUUGUUUUCUAUUUAUUUAUGGGAAUGUGUUUCAUUGUUGAAGCUUUGUUCUUUAUUUUUCUUUUACAAACCAUGAACUAAAUUUAUUUGUGGUUGAGUGAUAAACAAUCUUGAUGGUUUAUUGACUGAAUAUAUGUGUUGCUACAUGUUUACUGUAGCAGUUUGUUUUGAUAGUACAAGUUAGGAGAGAGUAGCAAAAUGGUCUAUCUUAGUGGAACAUAUCAGAACAAUACGUGAUCUUAAAUUGAACUUCCCGGAUUGAGUUUUACUUGAGUCCCAAAAGGGCCAUGCUUGAUUUAAGAUUAGUGAUGAACUAGACAUAGGGAUUCACCUUGUAGGGUAAAUAGAACCUAAGCGUGUAAUGCUAUAUCUUAUGUUGGCAUAACAAUUGAUCACUGUUAGGUUGCAUAUAGAUAUAAAAUAUCCAACAUGCGACGGCUGAGGAUACAUAAGGAUUCUGUCCAGUGCUAUAGCAGAUGCUGCAGCAACCAAGCCAAACAUUAGAAAAAUAGUCAAUACCAUUAAGAGAGUUUAUUCACUCAGCUACUAUAUACUCCCAUUAGUUUUAUCCUUGAGUUUGACGUGAUAAUUUACUUUGUUGCAUUUUAUUUAUUGUGUUUUUAUUUUAAUUAGUACAUUAGUUUCAUUAAUUGUUUAUUUUAUUUUAGCACAAAAUCUGCACUGUUAAGAUUGCUGUAGCAAAUCUGAUAACAUCAAUCCCUGUGGAGACGAUCUUGAAUACUCAUUAUUUUAUUACUUGUUGUGUAUACUUGCACAUUGACACCAAUAACAUUAGUAUUUAUACACCAACAAGUUUUUGGUGCCGUUGCCGGGGAUUGAUUGUUAAUUGUGAUUUGUGAAAUUAGUUUUAACAGUGCUAAUUUUUUAUUUUAUUUUAAUUUGUUUAUUUUGUUGAAAUAAGUGAUCUAGCAACCCUCGCAUGCGCAAAUAUAAAUCUAUUGACUUCUAGUUUGAUCCAGAAAUUGAAAGAACUGCAAGGAGAUUGAGAAGAGAGCAUCGGGAAUUACAAGCUGCUGUAGCAAUGGAUGAUUUGCAAAAUUUGAGAAACUUGAACUGUAAAGAGGGGAUACAACCAGUCAAUGUACAUGAAGGUCUGAAUGGACAAUGUGUUCAAAGGCAACCAGGGAACAACAACAUUAUUCACAUGGCGAACGAUAGAGAUAGAGCCAUUCGAGACUACGCAGUGUUGACUCCUCAGGCCAUACAUUCAAGAAUAGUUAGACCCGACAUUCAAGCUGACAAUUUUGAACUCAAACCCGUGAUGUUUCAGAUGCUUCAAACAGUGGGGCAAUUUAAUGGUGUGCCAUCCGAAGAUCCUCAUCUACACCUUAAGUUAUUUUUGGAAGUAAGUAAUCCUUUCAAGAUUGCUGGAGCAUCGUAAGAAGCAUUGAGACUCAGACUUUUUCCGUUUUUUUUAGAGAUCGAGCAAGAGCAUGGUUGAAUUCUCUACCACCAGAUUCUAUCACUACAUGGAAUGAUUUGGCUGACAAAUUUUUUAUGAAAUACCUCCCGCUAACCAAGAAUGCAAAGUUGAGGAACGAGAUCACGUAUUUCCAUCAACUUGAAGAUGAAAGCUUGUGUGAUGCAUGGGAGAGAUUUAAAGAGUUACUAGAAAAUAUCCUCAUCAUGGUAUUCCUUGCUGCAUACAGUUGGAAACUUUCUAUAAUGGUCUCAACCCAAGCACUAGAUUGAUGGUGGACGCUUCAGUAAAUGGGGCAUUGUUAUCUAAGUCUUACAAUGAGGCUUAUGAAAUUUUGGAGAGGAUAGCCAACAAUAACUAUCAGUGGCCAUCAACCAGACAAGUUGCAGCAAGAGGAACAGCAGGAGUUCAUAACAUAGAUGCCUUGACAGCAUUGUCAGCCCAAGUAACUUCAUUAACAAAAAUGGUAAAGGCUAUGACUACUGCUCCAGCAACUGUUAACCAAAUAUCUUAUAUGUCUUGCGUUUAUUGUAGAGAAUGGCAUUUAUUUGACAAUUGUCCUGGUAAUCCAGCUUCGGUUAACUAUAUGGGCAGCUUCAAUAGACAGAACUAGGACAAUCCAUAUUCAAACACUCACAACCUUGGAUGGAGACAGCACACAAAAUUUUCAUGGAGUUAUUAGAACCAGACUGCUGCAGCACCUAGUGGACAGAACAGACCUGCUCAACCACCUGGAUUUUAUCAGCAAAAUCAAGAGCAAAGAAGCAUCAACAAUGAUCAAUUCAGCUCCCUUGAAGGUUUGAUUAAGGAUUAUAUUAUGAGGAAUGAAGCAGUUGUCCAAAGUCAUACUGUAUCGUUGAGAAACAUGGAAAAUCAAAUUGGACAGCUUGCUACAGCAUUGAGCAACAGACCUCAAGGUAGUUUACCCAGUAAUACAGAGAACCCAAGAAGAGAAGGGAAAGAGCACUGCAAAGUGAUUAACUUAAGAUCUGGAAAGGAUGUUUAUAGUCCCGUUGGUGUACCAAAAAGAAGAAUUGAGUCCACCCAAGGCCAAGAAGACACUCAAGUAGAGAAAGAGUCACAAUCUUCCACUUUUCAGAAUGCAAAUCAAUACAGUUCUGCUACAACAUCUGCAGAAAGUUAUGAUCCAACACCUAGUAGUGAGGAAGCUACAACACCAACAGCAACAGACCUGAGUAGAGCAAAAGAGAAGCAGUCUGCACAACCUACUGCAGUACAAUAGUUUAGACACCCACCACCCUUCCCUCAAAGAUUUCAGAAGCAACAACAAGACAAGCAGUUCAAUAAAAUCUUAGGAGUGCUGAAACAACUACAUAUCAAUAUCCCUUUUGUGGAAGCUCUAGAACAAAUGCCAAAUUAUGCGAAAUUUUUGAAGGAUAUCUUGACAAAGAAAAGAAGAUUUGGAGAAUUUGAGACAGUUGCUCUAACACAAGAGUGCAGCCGAAUGCUUCAGAGUAAGAUACCGCAAAAGAUGAAGGAUCCAGGAAGCUUCACAAUCCCUUGCUCCAUAGGCACUAAAUACUGUGGCAAAGCACUUUGUGAUUUGGGGGCUAACAUCAAUCUCAUGCCUUUAUCAGUGUUUAAGCAAUUGGGAGUUGGUGAAUGUAGACCAACAACAGUGACUUUACAACUUGUUGACAGGUCUCAUGCAUAUCGAGAAGGGAAGAUUGAAAAUGUGUUGGUGAAGGUGGAUAAAUUUAUUUUUCUAGUGGAUUUCAUUGUGCUAGACUUUGAGGCAGACAAAGAAGUGCCAAUCAUUCUAGGGAGACCUUUCUUAGCCACGGGAAAGACUUUAAUUGAUGUUCAAAAAGGAGAAUUAACCAUGAGGGUGAAUGAACAGCAAGUGACAUUCAAUGUGCUGGAUGCUAUGAAGAGUCCCGAUGAGAUUGAAUAUUGUGAUUUUAUCAGUGUUGUGGACUUUGUUGUAGCAGAGAGAUUACACAGUUGCUGCAGUAAGGAAGAAAUCAAUGUUGUGACAUUUGAAGAACUUGAUGAUGAAGAUCAUGGAGCAGCUAACAUAGCAUGGUCAGGAGAGAAGCAACCCCUCAUAAUUGACGAGCAAAUCCAGCAAAUGGAACUCACGCCAGACCAACAAGAAUUCAAGGUUAAUGGGCCAAGAGUGAAGCACUAUAUGAGAGAUGAUGUGAACAGCCUAAAGACGAAUAUGUUCUUGAAUGAUCCAGGAUGAGCAAACAAGAAAGGUCAGACUAAAAGACCUAAAAUCAAGCGCUAAUUGGGAGGCAACCCAAUAAGGGAAGUUGUUUUAAGUUUUUAUGGCAUUGAAUUUAGCUUUUAAAUUAUUUAAUUUGUCUUUUUAUUAUUUUAAGUAUGCAUUUAAUUUUUUAUGUCUUUAUGUUACAUUGCAGCAAGUAAACAAAAUGUGGGCAAAAAGAGCAGGAGGGAAUUGCUGCCGCAUCACUUACAGCAUGACAUAUAACAGAAGAUUCUCAAACAACAGAGGCAUUUCUUGCUUUUGCAGCAGCAAAUGGAUUGAUCAGAUUUUUAUGAUAAGGAGUGUUUGAGAAGUAUAUCAAAGAAAAAGUGACCCUUUACAGCCUAUGCUAUAGCAAUGCUUCCAGCAACAGGGGAGUACCAUUACCCACUAGUUUAUUUUACUUCUUUCUGUAAAACUUUUCUUUAAUUUAGUUUUAAUUUUCUAAUUCAUUCUGCAUGUCUUUUUAUUUAGUGUAUGCAUGUCUGGUUUAUGUGGUUUUGUUUUGUGUGCUUGUGAGGACACAACACCACUCAAGUUUGGGGGGGUUGUGUUUUUUAGUGCAUGUGCUUGUGUUGUGUGAAGCUCUGUUAUCUAAUAUUUGUGUAUGGAUUUGAAAACCUAAUGAAGAUAAAUUGAGUGUUAUUCAGUAUUUAUGAGAAAGCCAAGUAGAGAUAGUUAUAGAUAAAGGUUGAACUUCUGUCCCAACACUUAGACUUUGGUUGAGUUUUAUGAGAAUGCUGUAGUAGAACCAGGAAAAAAAAAGAGUAGAAAAUAUCUCAAGUUUGGGGGAAAAUUUUUGUUGGACUGUGCCUGUUAUGAAAUAAAUUCUGCUCCAAUGGUUUAAGUUGCUGAGUAACCAGGGUUGAGUAUGCACCCUAUAUGCAAACUUGAGUCCAAAGGCAACACGAGCUACGAGCAGUGCUGCAGCAAAAGCAAAAAAAAAAAAGAAGAAAAGCAAAAAAAAAUGAUGAUAAAGAGGUCCGCUACCUAGGAUACUGAGUAACCUGGUCUGUUCAUGAGUCCCAUGUUCAGCCUUGAGUCAAAGGUGUCCAAAGGUAUGACCUAGAUAUAACAUCCCAAAUGCGUUGCUGUAGCAACUCCGACAUGUACUUUGAAUGAGUAAUUGGGUGUCGUCAUUACAAGUGAUAGGCAUUCACAUGAAAGCUCAAUGUUGCAUUGAAAGGUUUAACUGGAAAAAACAAGUAUUAUUAUUGUAGCAUAGUUUGAGUUUAUUUGUGAAUUCUACUCCCCUAUAUGUGAAUAUCUUUGGUUCUAUCUAUGAAUUAUAUGUCUAUGUAAUGUUGUAGCACCUCUGGAAUUUGAUCAAAGUGGCACACACACACUCUGGACAGAAUAAAGCCUAAGUCUAGAACUAGAUUGCUAUGGCUAUUUUGCAUGAUUAAGAGUGUGAUCUGAGGGUGGAAGAAUCCUUGCAAAUCUGAUGACAGAGCUAAGUUAUUUGUUGCAUGAUUGUGUGAUUGAAGUGUUAGCAUUAUUGUCAUUACUUGAGGACAAGUAAGGGUUUAAGUUUAAGGGUGUGAUAACUCUAUGAAAUGAAAGUUAUCAUGGCACUUUUAGGCUUAAAUCAAUACUACUUAGAGAGUAAAUUAUGUGUUUCUAUUGCAUUUUUGUUACAUUUUGCAUAAAUAAUCAUUUUAGUCAGUCUUAAUAAGUUUUGCUCGAUUUAAAGUAAUUUGUGCUCAAAUUGUGUGAAUAAUUGUAGGUUUCUAGAAGCUUAUAAUUCAUGAAAGGAAUGCUAUGCAAUAGGCUUGCAAAAAUAAGGAAGAGCAUGGCUAUAAAAGAAUUGAAACAAAUUUGGAACAGUACAGUUGCUGUAGCAACCAUUACUAUAGCCAUUGCUAUAGCAAUCCUGGAACAACGACGGAGAAAAUUCCGCGCGGGAUACUUGCAGAAUUGCGAUCUGCAGUUUCCUAAUCUGACUUAUGCGCGCCCUGGGCUUCCGUUUACCCUAAUUUUUAACUAUAAAAGAAGCACACAUCAUAAGGAUUAAAGAGAGCCGUCACCCAAGGAGGAAAACAAAAAGAAAUAAAAGAAAAACAAGAUUCAAGAGAGAGAUUAAGGGCUGCACAAGAGGAGAAUUUGCAUAAAUCAAUUGGGAGCUCAAUCCUUCUUAUUCUUCUCUUAUUUUCUCAUUUUCUAUUUAUUUAUGGGGAUGUGUUUCAUGGCUGAAACUUUGUUCUUUAUUUUUCUUUUACAAACCAUGAACUAAAUUUAUUUGUGGUUGAGUGAUAAACAAUCUUGAUGGUUUAUUGACUGAAUAUAUGUGUUGCUGCAUGUUUGUUGUAGUAGUUUAUUUUUAUAGUAUUUAUUUUAUUCAUUAUUUCGGUUGAUCACCCAUUUAAUAAUACAAGUUAGGAGAGAGCAGCAAAAUGGCCUAUCUUAGUGGAACAUAUUAGAACAAUACUUGAUCUUAAAUUCAGUUUCCCGAAUUGAGUUUUACUUGAGUCCCAAAAGGGCCAUGCUUAAUUUAAUAUUAGUGAUGAAAUAGACAUAGGGAUUCACCUUGUAGGAUAAAUAGAACCUAAGCGUGUAAUGCUAUAUCUUAUGUUGGCAUAACAAUUGAUCACUGUUAGGUUGCAUAUAGAUAUAAGAUAUCCAACAUGCGACGGCUGAGGAUACAUAAGGAUUCUGCCCAGUGCUAUAGCAGAUGCUGCAGCAACCGAGCCAAACAUUAGAAAAAUAGUCAAUACCAUUAAGAGAGUUUAUUCACUCAACUACUAUAUACUCCCAUUAGUUUUAUCCUUGAGUUUGACGUGAUAAUUUACUUUAUUGCAUUUUAUUUAUUGUGUUUUUAUUUUAAUUAGUACAUUAGUUUCAGUAAUUGUUUAUUUUAUUUUAGCACAAAACCUGCACUGUUAAGAUUGCUAUAGCAAAUUUGAUAACAUCAAUCCCUGUGGAGACGAUCUUGAAUACUCAUCAUUUUAUUACUUGUUGUGUACACUUGCACAUUGACACCAAUAGCAUUAGUAUUUAUACACCAACAACUACUUCUUUCUUUGCCAAAAUAUCUCUUACAAAAUUGUAUUUAGUCUCAAUGUGUUUCGAUUUGGUAUGGUAUUUAGCAUUAUUAGAGAAAUGGAUAGUAGCUUGAUUGUCACAAUAGAUAGUCACUAGAUUAUCAUUGAUAAUAUUAGUCUCUAAGUUCUCUAUAAAUCUCUUAAGUCACAUAACUUUUUGCACUGUUGCAGAACAUGCAAUAUAUUCGGCUUCCACCGUUGAUAAAGUCGUGCAUGUUUGCUUCUUGCUACUCCAUGUAAUUGUUCCUCUAUUUAGCAGGAAUACAUAUUUUGAAGCUGAUUUACGCUAAUCCAGAUCACCACCCUAGUCGGUGUCUGAAUAUCCAACAAGCCGCAAACGACCUCCUUGAUAGCAUAAACAAUAAUUUGCAGUGCAUUUGAGAUAUGCUAAAAUCCUUUUAACAGUACUCCAAUGCUUCUGACCAGGAUUAGACUGGUAUCUACCUACUAGUCCUACAACAUAACUAAUAUCAGGCAUUGUACACAUUAUGACACACUUAAGACUUCCAAUGGCAUUUGCAAAAGGAACUCUAAUCAUUUUUUCUUUUUCUUGAGGAGUCUUGGGACACAUAUCGAGACUAAGAGAUUGUCCUUUAGCUAUAGGGGUAUCCUUGUGCUUACAAUCAGCCACAUUGAAUCUUUCAAUGAUCUUCUUAAUGUAAGACUCUUGUGACAGAGCCAUAAUUUUCCUUGAACGAUCCUUAAAAAUUUUGACCCAUAAGAUAUAAGUUGCUUCGCCGAUAUCUUUCUUGUCAAAAUUUGAAUGUAGCCAAUCUUUAAUAAUUUUCACAAACUCUUUACUAUUUGCUGCCAAUAAUAUAUCGUCCAUAUACAAAGUCAAUAUCGUAAAAGCGUCUUUAUGUCUCUUAAUGUACACACAAUGGUCUUCCUUAACCAUCCUAAAGCUAAGAAACUAUAGCUUGAUAGAAUUUAAGGUUCUAUUACAAGUGGGCAUAUUUUAACUAAACCUAUCCAAACCGAUCCCGACCAUUUGGAUCGGUUUCAUUAGUAAAAAAACUAGUUUUGGUUUAUUAGAUUGCAAACCGACAUCACUCGAUUUGGAUUUCAGCAAAUCGAUCCAAUCCAGAAAAUUUAAAAAGCUUUAAGACAUAUGAUGUGUCAAUUUAUUAUUGGAUUAUUAACAGAAGAAAUGUACACUUUCAUACACAAUAGCACACUUCUUAUUAUAAAAACAAAAACACAAAAACCUAAUUGUCCAACACUCACAGCUGCCUUCACCUCCAGUGCCUCCUAUCAUUCUCAACUCUCUCAAUCUCAAUCGCUCAUUCUCAAGUCUCAGAGUCAUAAUUUUAAAAAUCGAAACAAAAGGGCAUGUUUUGAUUUUAUUUUUCUUGCUACAAUUUUAUUUUAUUUUAGUCAAAAGUUAAAGUGGAUUUUGGUAUAAUUGAUGAUAAUUUAUUUGAUUAAUUGAUUCCAUAGCUAUUUUUUUUUUAAUCUUUAUUAAUUAAAGAAGCUCUCAACAUGGAAGAUAAUUCCAAUGUGAAUAAUAUCAUAGAAAAUGGAGAAAUAGUGAUGGAUGAUUUUCUAGAACCUAAAAGUAAGAAAUCUAGAACAUGGGGUGGUCGUCUUCAUGACAGUGAAAGGGGUUCAAAAGUUUGGCCUCAUUAUAUCAAAGAUUAAGUGAAUAGGACAUGUAAGUGCAAAUAUUGUGGGAAGUAGUAUAAGUGUGAUAGUAAGUUUAAUGAGACUUUUAAUUUGUGGACUCACUUAAGAGAACAAUGUGAAAAAUAUUGGGCUACUUUAGAUUAUGUGACUCAAGUUAAACUAGCUCGCUUCCGUGAUAAGAAAAAAAAGUCUAAUAUGGCAAGUGGUAGUGGCACUAGGAAUAUUGUGUAUGGUAUUGGGUUGGGGCUUGCUGGAAAGUUUGAUCAUGAGGAUUGUAGGAAGAAUGUGGCAAUAUAUUUUAUUCUUAAUGAGGUUUCAUUUAGGAAGGUAGAGUCUUAUGGGUUUCAUCUUUUGUGCGAUAAACUUUGUCCUAGAUUUGGCCCACCUUCUAGGGGAACACUUGUUAGAGAUAUAUAUCAACUGUAUUUAGUUGAGAAUGCAGCAUUAAAAAAUAUUUUUAUUGCAAAUAAGUAUAGAGUUUCUAUUACCACAAACAUUUGGACUUUCAUACAAAAUUUUAAUUAUAUGUUGUGACAACCCAUUGGGUUGAUCAUAAUUGGAAAUUGCAUAAGAAAAUUUUGAAUUUUUUUUCCAAAUAACAAGCCACAAAGGGGACUUAAUCGGCAACCUUAUUGAAAAAUGCUUACUUGAUUGAGGUAUAGAAAAAGUGAUGAUUGUUAUAGUUGAUAAUGUGAGUUCUAAUGAUGUUGCUAUCAAUUAUUUGAAAAAAAAAAUUGAAAAAUUGGAAGGGUGAUGCAAUGAUUUUAGAUGGAGAUUAUUCACAUUUGUGGUGUUGUGCCCAUAUUGUUAAUAUAAUUGUGAUUGAAGGGCUGAAAGAGAUGCAUGACUCAAUUUCUAGCAUUUGCAAUGCAAUUAUAUAUGUGAGGUCUUUUGGUUUGAGGUUGCAUGUUGUAGGUUUUCUAAUGCUAUUGAUGUCAAUGUGCAAGUGUACACAAUAAGUAAUAUAAUGAUGAGAAUUCAAGAUUGUCUCCAUAUGUUGUUAUAGGAAUUGCUACAGCAAUUUUAUUAGUACAAUUUUUUUCCUAAACAAGAAUUAAAACAAAUUAUUAAACUAAUGAAAUAAUAAAAAUAAAAACGCAAUAAGAAAAAUGCAAUAAAGUAAAAUACCACAGCAAAUACAAGGAUGUUCCCAAGGGGAAUGGAGUAGUUGAGCGAUUAAACUCACUUAAUGGUUUUGACUAUUUUUCUAAUGUUGGCUCGAUUGCUAUAGCAUUUGCUACAGCACUGGGCGGAAUCCUUAUGUAUCCUCAGCUGUCGCAUGUUGGAUAGCUUAUAUCUAAAUGCAACUUAACAGUGACCAAUUGUUAUGCUAACGUCAGAUAUAGCAUUACACAUUUUAAAUUCUAAUUACUCUACAAGAUGAAUCCCUAUAUCUAGUUCAUCACUAAUUUUAUAUUAAGCAUGACCCUUUUCAAAUCAAGUUAAACCCAACUCAGGAAACUCAAUCUAAAACCAAGUAUUGCUUUGAUAUGUUCCACUAAGACAAGUCUUUUUUAAGCUCUUUCUUAACUAGUAUCACUAAAUGGGUGGUCAACCGAAAUAGUAAAUUGAAAUAAGUAUUAUCAAAACAACGUGCUAUAGCAAAUAUGCAACAACACAGAAUAUUAGUCAAUUAACCAUCAAGUUUGUUCAUUACUCAACCACAAGUAAAUUUAGUUCAUAAUUUUUGAUAAAACAAGAAGUAAAAUAGUUUCAGCCAUCAAACAAUUCAUCAUAACGAGAUAGAAACAAGAGAACAAAAAAUAAGAGUGAGAUCCGCUUGAUGUUCUUCUCGAAUUCCUUAGUUGCAGCCCCCAAUUCUCUCUCUUGAUCUUUGUUUUUUCUUGUGUUGUUUAUCUAUUUUUCUUCUCCAAUGACGACUCCCUUUUCUUUGCGUGUGUGCUCCUUUUAUAGCUCAGAAUUAGGGCAACUGGAAGCCUAGGACGUGCAUCUUCUAAUUUAGAAAACUCCAGACUGCAAACUUCAAAGUAUCUCGCGCGAAAUCUUCUCUGUCAAUGCUCUAGAAUUGCUAUAACAACGAUGCUACAACAACAGUGCUACAACAAUGGCUUCAGCAUCUGCAUUGUUCCAGACUUGUUUCAAUUCUUCUCUAAUUAAGUUCUUUCCUUAUCUUUACAAGCCUAUUGCAACCGUAUUCCUUUCUUGAAAUUUGAGCUUUCGGUCACCUAUAAUUAUGCAUAUGAUUUAAGUACACAAUUUAUUCUGAAUCAAACAAAACUUAUUAAAAGUAAACUAAAAUGGAUGUUUAUCCAAAACAUUACUAAAAUGCAACAAAAAUAUGUCAUUUACUCUCUAAGUAAUCAUGAUUUAAGUCUCAAAGUGUCAUGAUAACUCUCAUUUCAUAGAGUUAUCAUUAUAAAUUUAAAUCAUGUGUUGAGAGAGAGAAAUUUGAAUAUAAAGGGCUUUUAGCAUAUGAUGUGCCCACUAGAUGGAAUUAUAUCUACACUAUGUUGUCCAGAGCUAUAAACUUUCAGAAAGCUUUUGAAAGUCUGGAAGAAGAGGAAUAUGAUGGACCAAAGCUUUUUUCAAUGAGAGGAAAGCAGAACAUAUCAGGCCACCCACAGCUGAAGAUUGGAAAAUGCUGCAAUAUUUAUCAAGUUUUUGAAAUUUGUGAAUAAUGUUACAAUUGAUUACAAUGCUUUAUUAUCUGUCAUGUCUAACUUGUAUUUUCAUCAUCUUUGCACCAUUCAAACCUAGUUGCAUUCAUUUAUUGAAAAAAAGGAGGUGCUUCUUAGUAAAAGGGCAGAAAAAAUGAAAAUAAAGUAUGAAAAGUAUUGGGGUUCUGUGGACACUAUAUAUCAGCUGUUUAUCAUUGUUGUGGUACUUGAUCUAAGGUAAAAAUCUGUUAUUUCAUUUGAUUUUUUAUUUUUUAUGAUAAAAUCAAUUGUGAUAAUUAUUUACUCCAAUUCAUUUCAUAUCUAAGGUACAAAUUGGAUUAUGUGUCAUUUUGCUUUGAAAAUUUGCAUAAUCCUGAGAAAGCGAAAGAAAUUACAUCAAACAUUAAGAAGCUACUUUUAAAGGUGUAUUCUUUGAAAUACUAACUAGGCAACCCAAGAGGGGGGUGAAUUGGGAUUUUAAAAAUUAAGCUAAGCAAACCACACAACAAUCUAAUCUAAUGCCUUAAUAAAUUCGAAAACAAUAAAUUCAAUGAAAGCACAAUAAUAAAUGAGCAAGGGAAGAGAAAGAAAACUCAAGGAUUUUUACGUGGUUCGGCAAUCCCCGCCUACGUCCACGCCUCCAAGCACACCGGGCUUGAGGAUUUCACUAUCCGAGUCUUUCCAAGGCUUCAAAUGUUUACAAUUGACUUCAAGGUGUCAAUGAACCUUUACAACAAAAUAUUAUCUCUCCAAUCUCUUCACCCCAAGUGUUUCUCACACUUGUACACUCACAAUUUGAUGAGAAAUGAAAAUUACAAUAAUGAAACUCUCUUUAAGAGUGGAUAUACAAAUUGAAGAACAAAGAUGAUUUAAUAAAUGAUGAUUUACGAAAUUGAAGCUCAAUAUAUGUUGUGUGCACUUGUUUUUGCUUGCCAAGAUUUCCAAAAUUGAAUUGGUUUUGAGUUUAUAUAGUUUGAACUCAAAAAACUAGCCGUUAUGCACAUUUUGGUCAUAACCGGCUUACCAUUUAGGAAUCCGGUAAGCCGCUUUUAUGUUACCGUUAAGGCAAAAAUUUGAAUUUCAAAAUAUCCGGUAAGCCGCAUUUCAUAUCCGGUAAGCCACUUUUGAAAUCCGGAUUGCCGCUUGCGAAAUCCGGAUAGCCGUUUAUGCUCCAGAAGCUUACUGCCCAAAAUCUGGAUUGCCGUUUACUAUAUCCGGUAAGGCACUUGCUACAAUGAUUGCUACAGUGAACUAUUUUUUAAAAUUACUGUUUGGCCCCAAAACUUUCCAUAAUUGUAUUAUGGCCUAAAACGUUAUGAAAAUUUGCAAAUAGGUUCAAUUUUAGAAUUUCUAAGCAAUGCUUUGUUAAUCUCAAAACUUUUUGAAAUUAUGGUAUAGCCUAAAAUGCUAUGACACUUUUCAAACAAGUCUUUCUCUAAAAUUUCAAACAAUACUUGUUGAUUUCAAAGUUUUCAAAACUCUUUCAAUUAAAUCAUAAACUUGAAAAACAACUAAUUUCAUAAAAUCAUUUUUUCAUGAAAUAUAAAACCUUUAUAGUGUAAAAAUAAUGAUUUAUUUAAAAUGUAUAAAAAAUAAUUUGAGCUUAAAAGAUUAAUCAUUCUUAAUCUUGUUUGUUAUCAUCAAAAUCAACAUUAUGAAAACAUAUAUGUUAACAUUCUUAAACUUUCAAAUUAGAUUCAGUUAUAACACUAGUUACUUUAUUUUUUUUCUGUAAAAUGUAUUCAUAUUUACUUAAAUUUAUUUUCAUAGCUAUAUAAAACCUAUUGUCUUGUAGAAUCUACUUCUGGUGAUGGUAGCCAAUCUACUAAUGAUGUUUUGGCAAUUGAUGUGGGUUUAAGAAGGAAAAGUGGCAAGGUCUAUGCAUUUAUUAAUACAAAGACUCAAUAUAAGCAGUUAAAAGUGCAGAAAGAUUCCAUUGAUUUGAAAAAUGAGGUAGAAAGGUAUUUGUUCUAACCUAGCGAGGAUGAAACUGAUGAUUGGUUUGAUGUUUUGGGUUAGUGGAUUGCAAAUAGUGCAAGGUUUGGGACUUUGUCACAAAUUGCAAAGGAUGUGUUAGCAAUUCCUGUAUCUACUGUGGCUUCUGAAUCUACUUUUAAUACUGGAGGUCGUGUAGUCUAUGCAUUUCGAAGUUCAUUAACCCCUACAAUGGUUGAGACUUUGAUAUAUAGUCAACAAUGGCUUAAAGCAUCUGGUAUGGAUGAAAAAUAUAUUAGGAAGUUUGAUGUAGAAGUAUUAGCAUCAUACUUUAGUGAUUUGGAAUUAUGUACGUCUGUGGAGCAAGGUACCUAUGUUUUACAUAUAGUAUAAUUAUAUUAUUUUCUAAGUUAAGCAAUCUAACCAAUCAUUUUGUCAUUUUAUGCAGAUUUUGACAAAUCAAAAGUAAUUGGGCCAUAAGUUUUGAUGGACAAGAUGCACGAUAUUUUGAUUGUCAAAUGUUGUUCAAGUUUAUUUUAAUUUUGUGAGUUUGUUUUGAAUGAACAGGUUGAGAACUUCUUUAUUAUGAUGUAUUCUGUUAUGAACUUGUAUGGAUGUAUCUUUGAAUUGUUAUGUAGAUAUGAAUAAUAUAAAAGAGAUAUCAAUUUAGAUUAUGGACACAAAAAAUAACAAAUAAUUUAGGUACAACAAUAUAAAAGAGGUGGGCUUUUAGCUAAUAAUCUCAAACCAAGAAAAAAACCAAUCCAGUCGGUUUGGUUUAAAAAAAUUUUCGGUCGAUAUCAGUUUAGAUCGGUUUGAUAAUUUGUCUCAAAUUGAUCCAAACCAAAUUUGCCUACCUCUCAGUUCCAUUAUCUAGAGAAAUGCAAUAUUUACAUCCAUCUGAUGUAAUUCAAGGUCUAGAUGUACAAUAAUGACCAAAAUUAAUUGUAUAGAAGCAAACCUUACCAUAGGAGAAAAGGUUUCUUUAUAGUUUAUUCCCUCCUUUUGGGUAUAGCCUUUAGCGACUAAUCUUACUUUGUAUCUCUCGAUUGUCCCAUCCACUUUACGUUUUAUAUGGAGAACCCAUUUAUUUCCGAUAGUUUUAUGAUUAGGCAGAAAUUCAAGCAAGUCCCAAACUUGAUUAACGUUCAUAGAUUCUAUCUCUUCUUCCAUUGUUUUCAUCUAUAAAUCCUUAGCAGACGAUGUGAGAGCUUUAUUAAAAGUAUUUGGCUCUUCACUAUCGUGUGAAGUAAUCAUAAAACGUCUCCCUCAAUCUCAAAAUGACGACAAGGAAUUGACUUACGACUACUCUUCUGAGUUGAUUCCCUAAUUCGAAUCGAAGUGUCCGAUGUUUCACUCCCACUCAGAGUAACAAUCCCCAGAGGAUUCGCACUAAUGCCAAUAUCAACAUUAGAAGUGAUAACCCCAUUUGGAUCUUCUAAUUCAUAAAAUUGAAAAUCCUUAUCCACUUCUUCAAUGCUAGAAAAUUCAUUUUCUAAAAAACUGACAUUUGUUGCAACUUUUUCUUGUAUUAUUAGUAUCAAUGUGCAAGUGUACACAAUAAGUAAUAUAAUGAUAAAUAUUCAAGAUCGUCUUCACAUGGAUUGAUGUUAUCAGAAUUGCUAAAACAAUCCUGAACAGUGCAACUUGUGUUCUAAAUUAAGACUAAAUAAUUAAUGAGACUAAAUAACUAAUUAAACUAUAAAAUGUAAUAACUAAAAAGGCAAUAAAUAAAAUUUUCAUGUCAAACACAAGAAUAAAGCCAAUGAGAAUAGAGUAGUUGAAGGAUUAAACUCUCUUAAUGGUUUUGACUGUUUCUUCUAAUCUUUGGCCUGGUUGCUACAACAUUUGUUACAGCACUGGGCAAAAUCAUAUUGUAUCCUCAACUGUCGCAUGUUGGAUGUCUUAUAUCCUUAUGCAACCUAAUAGUGACCAAUUGUUAUGGUAAUAUAAGAUAUAACAUUACACAUUUAGGUUCUAUUUACCCUACAAUGUGAAUUCGUAUGUCUAAUUCAUCACUAAUUUUGGAUUAGGCAUGGCCCUUUUGGAAUCAAGUAAAACUCAACUCAACUCAAGAAACCCAAUCUAAAACCAAGUAUUACUCUGAUAUGUUACAUUAAGAUAAGCCCUUUUGUAGCUCUUUCUUAGCUUGUAUCAUUAAAAUGAGUGGUCAGCCGAAAUAAUGAAUAUAAUUAAAUAUCAUCAAAAUAAAAUGCUAUAGCAAGCAUACAACAACACAUUUAUACAGUCAAUGGACCAUCAAGAUUAUUUAUCACUCAACCACAAAUAAAUUUAGUUUAUAAUUCGUAAAAGAAACAUGAACAAUAGAGUUUUGGUCAUCAAAUGCAUUCUCAUGAUUAAAGAAUAAACAAGAAAACAAGAGAAGACUAAGAAAGACUGAGUUCCCGAUUGAUUUCUGUAAAUUCUCCUCUGAUGCAGCCCUUAAUUUUGCUCUUGAAUUAUGUUUUUCUUUUAUUUCUUUUCGAUUUUUGUUCUUGGUUGACGGCCUCUCUCUUCCUUUGCAUGUGUGCUCUUUUUAUAGAUAAAAAUUAGGGCAACUGAAAGUCUAGGGUGUGUAUCUUCCAGAUUUGGAAACUCCAUAUCUCAAUCUUUUAAGUGCCUCACAUGAAAUCUUCUCUGUCAAUGCUCUAACAUUGCUACAACAAUGUCUGCAACAUCUGCAUUAUUCCAGACUUGUUUUAAUUCUUCUGCAGCCAUGUUCUUUCAUUCAUUUUGCAAGCUCAUUGCAACAACAUCUUUUCCUUGAAAUUCAAACUUCCAAUUACCCACACUUAUGUAUGUGAUUUAAGCACACGAUUAUUCAAACCCAAACAAAAUUUACUAGAAUUAAACUAAAAUGGCUGUUAAUGCAAAAUAUCAUUAAAAUGUAAUAAAAACACAUUAUUUACUCUCUAAGAAAUCUUGAUUUAAGUCUAAAAAUGCAAUGAUAACUUCAUUUCAUAAAGUUAUUAACAUCCCGUGAUUCCAGUUCAGUUAAAAAUCCACUUUCAUGUUCACCAAUGAACACAUAUUGUUUGGAGUGUUCUGAGUAUCUAAUAAAGAUACGCUUUUUACUUCUAGCUCCUAAUUUCCCAAACUUAUGAAUGGAGUUAUAAACAUAAGCUGCAGACCCCCAAGGUCACAAAUGAAAUAGGUCAGGUUUCCUAGCCGUCUAUAACUCAUAUGAGUAGAACUAACUGAUUUUGAAGGAACUAGGUUAAAUAUACAGGCAGCAGUUAACAAUGCAUCUCCCUAAUAUGAUAUUGGAAUAUUUGAGUGUGCCAUUAUUGACCUAACCAUUUCUAAAAAAGUUAUAUUCCUUCUUUCCGCCAUACCAUUUUGUUGCAGAGUUUCAAGAAUAGUCAACUGUCUAUUUAUUCAUUUCUCACUACACAGUUCCUUGAACUAUUUUGAAAGGUAUUCAUGUCAUCAGUCAGUCCUUAGAACUUUAACAUUAUUAUCUAUUUGAUUCUCUACCAUGUUUAGAUAUAAUCUAAAGCAAUCCAAUGCUUCUGAUUUAUAAGAAAUCAAGUAGACAUGACCGAAACUUGAAUAAUCAUCAAUGAAUGUUAUAAAAUAUGAGGCUCCAUGUUUAGCCCUUACAUUCAUUGUAUCACAGAUGUUAGAAUGGAUUAAUUGUAAUGAUUUUUCAACUCUAAUUCCUUUGUCAAAUGGUUUUCUAGUUGUUUUUUCAGCUAAACAAUUCUCACAUAUGGGCAAUUCAACCUUGGUAAGUAAACCCAAUAUGCCCUUUCUCGUAAGUCUAUUCAUUCUUUUUUGCCCUAUGUGACCUAAUCAAGCAUGCCAAGUAAUAACAUCUAUUUUAUUAUUACUUAAAGAAGUAGCAUAUGAAAAAUAAUUAUUAUCAUAACUUGAAUUAUCAGGUAUUGUAUCUAAUAUAAUAAAACCAUUAACGAAAUGCCAGUUCUAAUAAGGACUAAAUUUAAGAAAAUCUCCAAAAAAAAAUCAUAAAAGUUUAAAUUAUAUCCUAAUUCAAGAAGAACAAGAAUAGAAACCAAGUUUCAUCGAAUCUCUAGUGCAUAUAGGACAUCGUGUAAUAAAAGAAUACGUCCACCAUGCAAAGUCAAUUUGUAGGUGUCUAUUCCUUUUGCUUCAACCCUGGAGUUGUUGCCCACGUAUAUCCAUUUAGUCCCUUGACUAAUUUGGUGAUACUCUACAAACGCAUUUUGAUCACGAGCUAUAUAGUCUGUUGAUCCUGAGUCUACAGUCUACAUAGGACGAGAAUCAAUUAGGAGUACAUAACUCAUAACUAACACAAAAUUUAAUAAAGUGGAGUUGGGCUCAGUGCACUCGCGAGCAAAGUGAUCGGGCUCACUACAAUUAUAGUAUUUCAUCUUAGAUUUGUCAUUUUUCUUGUUAGUGCGUCUACCCCUUGGGCGCUUCUUAGCAUCUGAAUUCCUCUUAUUAGGAUCAGAUUUCUUACCCUUCUGGUUAUAAUUAUGACCCUUUUGUACUUGAAGCUUGAAGCUUUGUGCGAAUUUGAUUCGGUCAUAUAAACACGAUCAAAAAGCUUAGUUGCCUCAAGGCGCUUUACUUCUAAUUCUAGGUGAUGUUCUAUGUCAUUGAAAGUUCUAAUACUUUCAUUAUGAGUCAUAUUCACCAUCAUGUGCAGCCAAGAAUCAGGUAGAGAUCUUAUUACUUCCUGGACUUGUUGUUCAUCAGUCAAAAUAUGUCCAGCAGCCUUAAGUUCGCAAAUCAUGUUUGACCUCUCCCUCAGCUGCUGCCUCAUAAUAUGAUUUUGGCAAUUCCGAGAAGAAUCAAACUUGAUCAUAAGCCUUGCAAUUUAGUAGUCGAAGUGCCACUGAACUUAUCUUUUAGAGCGAGCCACAUCUGUUGAGCAGUCUCUUAUAGCCUCUUCUACUAUAGUAGCGGAGUUCAUAGCAUGUAACGAGACAUCCAAUCACAGAAUAUGGCUAAGGAAUUACGUCACAGAGUUACACAUUUUAGAUGUUAUUGAUAGACCACUUAAGUUAUUAUGUGACAAUAAGUUAGCAGUGCUAUAUUCCAAUAACAAUAGGAGCUCGACGAAGUCACAGUAUAUAAACAUCAAGUUCCUAGUUGUUAAAUAAAGAAUUCAGAGUGGAAAAUUGUCUAUAAAGCAUAAUGGUACAAAAUUCAUGAUCACGGAUUCGCUUACUAAGGGAAUACCAUCUAAAAUUUUUCAUAAGUACACCGUUCAUAUAAGUGUCGUGUCAUUAAAGGAUAUUCAUUUUUAAUGGGAUUUUGUAAAUUUCAAAUGUUCUUAUGAUAUAAACAUUUUUCGGUUUAGGGAUAUUUAAGGUUAUUUUCUGCAGAAAUAAAGUUUUGGUUUAUUCAUUCACACUAAUUUUUAUAUGAUUUGAUCUCACUAAAGUUUAAGGCGGAUCAAUUGGAAAUAGGCAUGUUAAGAUCACAUUACAUGAAAUUUCCAUCCUACACGCCCAUAUCAUGAUCUAUGUCAUUCAGUUAUAUUGGCAUAGUGAGCAUUGAUGGGUCAAGUUACGAUAGUUGUAACAAAGGUCGUUUUGAUCCUUUGUUGAUAUGAUUGAUGGACCGAAUUGACUAUAGAUACAGUUUAGUAAUGACAGUAAAGUUGAGCUCAUAUGGUUAUUUUUGCAAAGUAUAAUUAUAAGGUUACAUAUAUAGCCCAAGUGAAAGGUUGUUGGAUCUUUAAUCUAGCAUUGUUAGAUCCUUGAUCCAAUGUUGGGUUUAUAUGUGAAUAAUUAUAUGUUGUGAACUAUUAUAUAAGAUUAAGACAAAUUAAAAAUGAUCUAUUAAGGUUUUCGAUAAUUUGGGCUUUAAUGUAUCUAAUCAAUUGUGGGCCUUUAAUGUACAGAGACUUAAGACUAAUUUCUAUUUCCAUGAUGGGUUGGAAUAAGAAUACAUAAAGACAAAAGAAAAAUUUGUUUAUAUAAAUAGUUAUUGUCCGUAGGUCACACGUAUCGUUCUAUUCUCUGUUGACAUCUUAUCAUUAGAGAGAGUGCACAGAGAAGUUUAAAGGAUUCUCUAGGAGAAUCUGUUAAUUUGGAAGACAAACUACUAGACUCUAGAGACAAAUUGUGCAUUAUACUAGUCUUGAACAUGUUCAAUUCUCAAGGCAUCCAGAGGAGAUUUGCCCCUAAGCUUGCGAGCACACAAGUUCCUGAAGUAUUCUUCAACUGUCACUCUUUUAAACAAUAGAGGAUUAUUUUCAGAGACCAAAUUGGACGUAGGGUACAUUUCACCAUCAUAUAUCACUAAGUAAACUGUGCCAAUGGAAAGUCUUCCUUGUAUAGAGUUUACAAUUACACGAUGCUCAAUGCUACGGUAUGUCCCAUUGGUUACAAUCUGCCAUGUAAAAAUUAUUAAAGCACAUGAGCAGGCUCAUAUAAAUGCCAAGUUAAGUAUUUUACUAUAAUUAUUACCUCCAGUGUGUCUCCAAUGUCGACAAUGAAAGCAUUAGGGAGUGGAGCAACAGGAAUUAAUGAAAGCACACAUUAGCUAGCUCAUAUGAAUGUCAAGUUAAAAUAACUUAUCAUAAUAAUUACCUCCAACACGACUCCAAUGUUGACAACGAAAGCAUUUGGAAAAGGUGUAACAGGAAUCCACUUUCCAUCCUUCUUGAUCUGGAGACCUUCUACUUCAUUGAUUUCCAGCAGAAUGGUAAGAACAGAGUCAUCUGAAUGAGUUGUGAGGCCCACAACCUUCUCCGGCUGAGGACAUGGAGGGUAAUAGUUCAUCCCCAUUGAUUGGAAACCAUUUUCAAAGUAUUCUCUCAAUUCUUCAUCUUUGAUAUUUAGAACUUUUCCCAUUUUCAAUACCAGGUUCAUGGCCAGAGAUUUUUAACUCCACUGAAUAAAUUCCAAGAUUUCCUACAAGAAAAAAGAAGAUGCAAUUAAAAGGUUUAGUACAUGAUUGUGGUGGAUUGUUAAACAAGUUAUUAUUUAACAGUAUUCUUUCAUGUUUGGUUGUCAAAUUUUACUAAAUAUAACUGACUUGGGAUCUUUCUCUGAACAUAAUACAUUUGCAAUCAUCAAAUAACUGACUAGAGAGAGAAAAAGAGAAACCUGAGGGGUAAAGAGGGAGCUUAGGAAACAAGUGGGGUUUCCUCAGAUGAAUUGGAAGAGUUGUCAUGAAGAAAAUGUCAAUCCAAUCAACCUUUUGUUCCUCGGAUAUAACACAUGCUUGUCCAAAUCCUUCCAUAUUUGUUAGAUUUCAAUAAACUAAUAGAAUCACAUUUGCAUUAUACUCCAUCAUAAAUUUGCUUAUAGUUCUUCUCAAGCUAUCGUAAGCCUAGACAUCUGAAAGAUAUUAAAGACAAUUUAAUUUUCAAGAAUGCAGGUUUGUCUUCUCAGCUAUACAAGAAAGCAAGUUAGAUGGUCCAUAAUCGGACAAGGUCAGUUACAUCCCUCAAUUUUCAAAAAAAAAAAAAAAAAGGAGUGCUUAAACCGGCUUGGUUAAGACUAUCUAGACUCAAAUUUUGUUACAGCUUUCUUAUUGCUAACUUACAGAGUAAGAAAGCAUUGAUACAGAGUAGGCCAAAUUUGUGGCCUACUUGACCUAUAAGAAUGAAACACAAUCUAAUCUGAAUUUGAUCGACUGUACUUUUUGAUUGAGAGUAUAUAGAUUUCUUAAUUCUUGACGCCAGACUACUAUUAAUAAACCAAGCAUGUCCAAAUGAAAAAAUACAAACUUGGGUGCCUCACGACAGGUGUAGCUUAGCUGGUUGUGAAUGUAAUUCGCAAUUUGCAGAUAUCUGCGCUCGAGUAACAAUAUGGGACAAACGGUGGUAUUUACUAGAUGAGGUCUCAUCCCAAGCAAAUCCUUUAAAAGCAAAAUAAUAAUAACUUGGCAAAGGAGUUUACCUAGAAAGAAGCCCAUUCUUUGCAAGCGAAGUGGAGCCUGGACAACUCAGAAUCCAUUGACUCUUCAGAAAACAAGCUCUGCAAUACCCGUGAAUCCAAAUUAUUAUCAGAAAUUGUGGUUAAAUCUUGGCCUGGUCGUAUGUAUCUGGGAGGGAUAGCUAACAUAGGGUUCUUGGCCAACUCUUGAACACAAGGCACAGGCAGAGAACCUCCGAACUUGGCCUUCUUUUUGUUCCACAAAUUCUCUCAACAAUAAUGCUCCAGAGUUUUAUUGACAAAGCAAAUGUUGAAAAUGUAUUAUUUUCAACAAGUCAUUAUUUGCUGUGGCCUUGUGUGAGACUAAUCCACCAUUGCGGGUCUAGGGUUGGCCCAUAGAUAUUUUGUGAAUAUGACAGUUGCAGUCUGCUGUUGUGUUGCUGUCUGCUGCGAAUUAUAAAAAAGAUAGUGCAUUGCCUUCACAAACUCUUAAGAAUUUGGAUACCAUGCUAAUUUCUUUUACAUGGUCUGAUGACAACCAAUCAAAAUCUUGUAUUUUUCUCAGCAUAAUAGCUGAUCAUCAACCGUAGUUCCAAGUUCAACUUUGAGAGAGACGAUCUGAAUAUGAAAUCCAAAGUUAUAGCUUUGCAGCUUGUGUAACUAACAUCUAUUUUCAGCUAUUGAUGGCAAAAUUUUUCGUUAGUGGUAACAAGUUAUGUAUUCGUCACAAUGUGUGUUAUGGAAUGGAAUAUUUAAGACGUGGAAGGACAACAUUGUUGUUAAAAAUCAAAAACUUGUUACUAUUAACUGAAAACUAUAACGGCUGAUACAGAAACUACACUGGUUCUGUGGUAAUAUUAUCUGUAUGUAUCAUAAAAAUUUGGAAACCAAGUCAUAUAGUCCUUGAAAUCUCAUUAAAAACAAGUCAGGUAUGCAAAAAUUCUAUUUCAAAAAAGAAAGAUACUGAUCUGAUAUAAGCACCACCAUAUAUCAUCGGAAGAUUCCAGGCAUAAGUCUGCAAUUCUUAAGAUUCUUACAUGGUCUAUUCAGUAUCUCAAAUGAUAGAGCUACACAACGAUCCCAGCAUAGCAGGUUAUACCACAGUAUUCAUAGAACUUAUUUCUUAUUUUCAGUUCCACACACAAUCUCAAUAGCAAGGUCCUUCAGAGUUUUUGUACCAAACUCUUUAGUUAUCCGAAAUAAACUUAUACUAGCCUUGACCAUGUUGAAUUCUCAGGGAAUCCAGCUGAGAUUUUCCCCUAAGCUCACGAGCAUACCGGCUCCUAAAGUAUUCUUCAAUUCUCACUCUUCUAAACAAAGGAGGAGUUUUUUCAGAGAUCAAACUGGAGGCAGGAUAUACUUCACCAUCAUAUCUCACUGAGUAAACUGUGGCAACGGAAAGUCUUUCCUGUACAGAGUUUACAACUGCACGAUGCUCAAUGCUACGGUAUGUCCCAUUGGUUAUAAUCUGCCAUGUAAAAAUUAGUAAAGCACAUAAGCAAGCGCAUAAAAAUGCCAGGUUAAGGUAAUUUAUUAUAAUUAUUACCUCCAAUGUGUCUCCAAUGUUGACAAUGAAAGCAUCCGGGAGUGGGGUAACAGGAAUCCACUUUCCAUCCUUCUUUACCUGGAGACCCUCCACUUCAUUAAGUUGUAGCAGAAUGGUAAGUGCAGCCGCAUCAGAAUGCGGCGACAGGCCCAUAACCUUCUCGGGCUGAGGACAUGGAGGGUAAUAAUUCAUCCUCAUUCCUUGCAGUCCAUUUUCAAAGAAUUCUCUCAUUUCUUCAUCUUUGAUAUUUAACACUUCUCCCAUUUUCGAUAUUAGGUUCUCGGCUAGGGUUUUUAAUUCCAUUGAGUAAACUUCCAAGGUCUCUCUACAGGAAAAGAAGAUGCACCAUCCUUUAUUUGUUUGCAAAUCAAAAUGACAUUGACAUAGAGAGAGAGAGAGAGAGAGAGAGAGAGAGAGAACCUGAGGGAAGGAGGGAGCUUAGGAAAUAAAUGUGGUUUCCUCAGAUGAACUGGAAGAGUCAUCAUGGAGAAAAGGUCAGCCCAAUCAAGCUUUUGUUCCUCAGAUACAACAAAGGCUUGUCCAAAUCCUUCCAUAUCUCCUGGACGCUGCCAAUAUUUUUUCUUUUCUUCCAUGCUGAGAUUGAAGAAUCCCUCAACCUCUUUCUUUAAUUUCUCUAGAAAU